Molecule: unclassified non-coding RNA, 269 nt
Filed under: Steccherinum bourdotii
Lineage: Eukaryota; Fungi; Basidiomycota; Agaricomycetes; Polyporales; Steccherinaceae
Also listed under: 1 other name
Description: partial internal transcribed spacer region
Rfam family: Eukaryotic small subunit ribosomal RNA (bases 1-46)
Source: RNAcentral
AAGUCGUAACAAGGUUUCCGUAGGUGAACCUGCGGAAGGAUCAUUAAUGAAUGAAAUUGAGUGGGGUUGUAGCUGGCCUUUCACCGGGCAUGUGCACACCUCAUUCGACCACCUUCUACACCCCUGUGCACUUCUCAUGAGUUGGGCCGCGUCUGAAACACGACAAAGUCCGGCUCGUGUGUUUUAUACAAACGAAUCAUGUUACAGAAUGUCACUACCAUGCUUUGAAGCAUAUAAUACAACUUUCAACAACGGAUCUCUUGGCUCUC